ACUGCUGGUUAGCUACCGGCAAUAUCUCCCAAACUGAUACCUGGAACAAAUGUUUCAGGUGCCCAUUAGUCGGAACAGCCUGGGCAGACUCUAUUUUGCUCGUGAAUGUUGAGGGUGGAGUGAGGAGUGCUUUCCACCCUCCACUUGGAAGAUUAGAGUUCAAAUAUUCAUAAAAGUACGGUGGUAAAAUCAGGAAGUUUGGGCAUUGAUCCCAGGUCUACCGCAGACUGUCAGACUUAUCUUGGAUGACUUAUUUAAACCGUCUCAGCAUAUAUUCCCAUUUUCCAGCCGCUCAAGCAGAAACAGUAAUAUUCUCUAGUGUGACAUCCAAUAAUUGCCUUCUCCCACUCCUUCAGACUGAAUCGACUCCAGGUCCAAAACCGAGCAAUGAAUACCCCCUUCGCUUAAGACGCUGGGAAGUCUCCAGUAUUGUUUGUAUUGCGGUAACAGUAAGAACAGAAGAAAAGUUAACAACAGAAAUGGAAGGAAUACAAAAGUGUAGACUAGAUAAUAAUGACAUUUUCAGGCCCUGUCCUAUCAAUCGGCAGGGUGAGUUGGCCCGCUCAGGCAGCUGAUUUUAGUGUCACCUGAAGGGUAGCUAAUGGUUAGUUAUUUGUCUUAUUGUUGUAUCUUUACUCCCAAGGAGAGAUACUUGUGGGGUUUUAUGCCCCAGGCAAAAUAACUUGCACAAUCUUGGCUGUUUUGUACUUUGACUUGCAGUGGGGCGGGGGAAUGAUAUUUGCUGUUCAGCCUCAGGCAGCAAAAUGUUCUGGAUCGGCUGUGCCUUUCUCCCUUAAGAACAGUGGCGUAGCAUGGGUUCCCAGCACCCGGGGCCACGCAGAGGGGAACAGACGGAGUAUGCAUCCGUGUUACCCAGCAGAUUGCAGCCACAGAGAUAAGAAGAGUCGCUCCAUUGUCUGGAGAGGUCACUUCCUAGUUUGUAUGGAGAAGCCGUGUUCCACGGAGCCCAGAAACAGAAGCACACAACUGUACUGAGGGAGCACCAGGUGUUGAAAUUUUGCGCCCAGAACAAUUUGACCCCACUACACUGUUGGGAAACUGUGUACAUGCAGCUACUUACACAGAGUCAAUUAAGGUUUGGCAGCCAGCCAGAAGGUCAUGUGAAGGAGUAAGUCUGCCUGGUGAUAACAGAGACAAUGGAGACAGCUCCCUGAUUGGUCAAGCUCUCUCAAGGGAGUGAUAAUUAAUGGCCUACUAACUGGGAUGUGUUAGUUCAGUAGUUCAGAGGUUCAGAGUUCAGUGUCAGUGUAGGAGUUGUGAGUCGUGUCAGAGAGAGCUAGCUAAAGAUCCGUGUUCUGUUCCUGUAAAUAGUCCACUGUAUAUAAUAAACACCUAACUACAAGUUCCUGGUUCCUGCUUCGUCUAUCCUGUCUGCAGCCAAGUUGCCAAUUGCUUCCGUGGAUUCUGCGUGUACUCUGCUAGGUCUGGCUAAGGUCCUGCAACUAGUCAGAAAGUUGUGAAACACCAAAUAGGUUUUGCCUGAAGGGUAGCUAAUUGUUAGUUAUUUGUCUUAUUGUUGUAUCUUUACUCCCAAGGAGAGAUACUUGUGGGGUUUUAUGCCCCAGAAGGCAAAAUAACUUGCACAAUCUUGGCUGUUUUGCACUUUGACUUGCAGUGGGGCAGGGGAAUGAUAUUUGCUGUUCAGCCUCAGGCAGCAAAAUGUUCUGGAUCGGCUCUGCCUUUCUCCCUUAAGACCAGUGGCGUAGCAUGGGUUCCCAGCACCCGGGGCCACGCAGAGGGGAACAGACGGAGUAUGCAUCCGUGUUACCAAGGAGAUCGCAGCCACGGAGAUAAGAAGAGUCGCUCCAUUGUCUGGAGAGGUCAUUUCCUAGUUUGUAUGGAGAAGCCGUGUUCCACACAGCCCAGAAACGGAAGCACGCAGCUGUACUGAGGGAGCACGUGUUGAAAUUUUGCACCCCUAACAAUUUGACCCCGCUACACCGCUGCCUAAGACUGGAUACUGUUUACCUAUGGCAGCUGCAGCCCUAACAGGUGGCUAUCCAAUUUUACCCCCUGCUUCCGAAGAAGAUUCUACCACGUCCUGACAAUUCGCUGGAAUGCUGUGCAGUGCUAACCUUUCAGAAACCCUCCCAAUCCUUAGGAUCACAACUCAGGAAGAGAAGUGGACCCCAUCCUGAGAGGCCCACCUAAGAGUGGUGGCCCAUGUGUUGAGGCAGAGCCACAGAGCCACCCUCCUGACACCAGCAUCACUGGAUGGGGCUCGGCAGGGGGCUGACAUGGUUGAGACUGCAAGAACGUGCCAGUGGAGUCAAUCCGGCACUCCCAUCAGUGUGUCCACUGAGCAUCAACACCAGUAUUGGGAGGAAGGCUCCAUCCCAUUGUACAGGCUGCUCCUGCUACAUAAAAUAGAGUUCACCUAAGGACACAAGGUGGGGGGGGGUGUGAGGAAACAAAUACAGUAUGCAAAAGCUUGUUGUAUGGCAAACUUUGCCACAGUAUAUAUCAGUAAAUCACAGCAUACAUGGUAUAACCGGGCUGUUACAAAUAUGUACUUACUGAACAGAUGUACUGAAAAAUAAACUGUUUGUUUCAGAUUA
Molecule: non-coding RNA, 2579 nt
Organism: Podarcis lilfordi (Lilford's wall lizard)
Lineage: Eukaryota; Metazoa; Chordata; Lepidosauria; Squamata; Lacertidae
Source: the annotation of a GenBank genome assembly